Molecule: ribosomal RNA, 1019 nt
Filed under: Triplophysa orientalis
Lineage: Eukaryota; Metazoa; Chordata; Actinopteri; Cypriniformes; Nemacheilidae
Also listed under: 1 other name
Description: partial large subunit ribosomal RNA
Rfam family: Bacterial large subunit ribosomal RNA
Source: RNAcentral
AGGAAACUAAAUCAUUUUUCCACCUUAGUACGGGAGACGGAAAAGGUAAUUUUAAGCAAUAGAGAAAGUACCGCAAGGGAAAGCUGAAAGAGUAAUGAAAUAAUUCAUAUAAGCACAAAAAAGCAGAGCCUAACCCUCGUACCUUUUGCAUCAUGAUUUAGCCAGCACCACACAAGCGAAGUGACCUUUAGUUUGAAAUCCCGAAACCAAGUGAGCUACCCCGGGACAGCCUGUUUGGGCGAACCCGUCUCUGUGGCAAAAGAGUGGGAAGAGCCCCGGGUAGAGGUGAUAAACCUACCGAACUUGGUGAUAGCUGGUUGCCUAAGAAAUGAAUAGAAGUUCAGCCUCGUACCCCUUUAGCCAACCAGGAAAUAUCUAAGUAAGCAUAGAAGAGAAAUACGAGAGUUAGUUAAAGGGGGUACAGCCCCUUUAAUAAAGGACACAACCUUAAAUAGGAGGAUAAGAGUCACAUUUUAUAAAACUAGUCGUUCCAGUGGGCCUAAAAGCAGCCAUCUGAAUAGAAAGCGUUAAAGCUCAAACGACAUGCAGUUUAUUAUACUGAUAAGUAGCCCAAUUCCCCUAAAAAUAUUAGGCCGUUCCAUGUUACCAUGGAAGAGACCAUGCUAGAAUGAGUAAUAAGAGGGUGCAACCCUCUCCUAGCACAAGUGUAAGCCAGAUCGGACAAGCCACUGGAAAUUAACGAACCCAUAAAAAGAGGGCAAUGUGUUUACUAAAGAAUUCAAGAAAAUAACACAACAUUUACAUCGUUAAACCCACACUGGAGUGCAUCAAGGAAAGACUAAAAGAAAGGGAAGGAACUCGGCAAACACAAGCCUCGCCUGUUUACCAAAAACAUCGCCUCCUGCAAACCCCUACGUAUAGGAGGUCCAGCCUGCCCGGUGACUACAAGUUUAACGGCCGCGGUAUUUUGACCGUGCAAAGGUAGCGCAAUCACUUGUCUUUUAAAUGAAGACCUGUAUGAAUGGCUAAACGAGGGCUUAACUGUCUCCCUUUUCAGG